CGGGUGUUCAGGGUGACCCCUGCGACGACCUCGAUGCUUGCACGAUCAACGAUGUGAUCACGGCAGGCUGCGUUUGCGCCGGCACCUUCCAGGAUACCGAUGGUGAUGGCACCUGCGAUGCCAACGACGGCUGCCCCCUUGAUCCUCUGAAGAUCGCCCCAGGCAACUGCGGUUGCGGUAACCCCGAGACCGGCGAUACCGAUGGUGAUGGAACAGCGGACUGCAACGAUGGUUGCCCCCUGGAUCCGUUGAAGAUCGCU
This 260-nucleotide unclassified non-coding RNA is filed under the name uncultured bacterium. RNAcentral describes it as "contains 16S-23S intergenic spacer region". The record is from RNAcentral.